AACGAACGCUGGCGGCAUGCCUAACACAUGCAAGUCGAACGAGACCUUCGGGUCUAGUGGCGCACGGGUGCGUAACGCGUGGGAACCUGCCCUUAGGUUCGGAAUAACUCCCCGAAAGGGGUGCUAAUACCGGAUAAUGUCUUCGGACCAAAGAUUUAUCGCCUUUGGAUGGGCCCGCGUUGGAUUCGCUAGUUGGGAGGGUAAAAGCCUACCAAGGCGACGAUCCAUAGCUGGUCUGAGAGGAUGAUCCGCCACACUGGGACUGAGACACGGCCCAGACUCCUACGGGAGGCAGCAGUGGGGAAUAUUGGACAAUGGGCGAAAGCCUGAUCCAGCAAUGCCGCGUGAGUGAUGAAGGCCUUAGGGUUGUAAAGCUCUUUUACCCGGGAUGAUAAUGACAGUACCGGGAGAAUAAGCUCCGGCUAACUCCGUG
RNAcentral lists this ribosomal RNA (433 nucleotides) under uncultured bacterium. Its description in RNAcentral is "partial 16S ribosomal RNA". It matches the Rfam family "Bacterial small subunit ribosomal RNA", at positions 29 to 507 of the family's 1533-position model. The record is from RNAcentral.